This 253-nucleotide ribosomal RNA is filed under the name uncultured bacterium. RNAcentral describes it as "partial 16S ribosomal RNA". It matches the Rfam family "Bacterial small subunit ribosomal RNA", at positions 524 to 776 of the family's 1533-position model. The record is from RNAcentral.
UACGUAGGGGGCAAGCGUUGUCCGGAUUUAUUGGGCGUAAAGAGCGCGUAGGCGGCCAGGUAGGUCUGCUGUGAAAACUCGAGGCUUAACCUCGAGCUGUCGGCCGAAACCAGCUGGCUAGAGUCCGGAAGAGGAGAAUGGAAUUCCCGGUGUAGCGGUGAAAUGCGCAGAUAUCGGGAAGAACACCCGUGGCGAAGGCGGUUCUCUGGGACGGGACUGACGCUGAGACGCGAAAGCGUGGGGAGCGAACAGG